RNAcentral lists this ribosomal RNA (450 nucleotides) under uncultured bacterium. RNAcentral describes it as "bacterial SSU rRNA". It matches the Rfam family "Bacterial small subunit ribosomal RNA", at positions 354 to 796 of the family's 1533-position model. The record is from RNAcentral.
GUGGGGAAUUUUGGACAAUGGGCGAAAGCCUGAUCCAGCCAUGCCGCGUGCAGGAUGAAGGCCUUCGGGUUGUAAACUGCUUUUGUACGGAACGAAAAGACUCUGGUUAAUACCUGGGGUCCAUGACGGUACCGUAAGAAUAAGCACCGGCUAACUACGUGCCAGCAGCCGCGGUAAUACGUAGGGUGCAAGCGUUAAUCGGAAUUACUGGGCGUAAAGCGUGCGCAGGCGGUUAUAUAAGACAGAUGUGAAAUCCCCGGGCUCAACCUGGGAACUGCAUUUGUGACUGUAUAGCUAGAGUACGGCAGAGGGGGAUGGAAGUCCGCGUGUAGCAGUGAAAUGCGUAGAUAUGCGGAGGAACACCGAUGGCGAAGGCAAUCCCCUGGGCCUGUACUGACGCUCAUGUACGAAAGCGUGGGGAGCAAACAGGAUUAGAUACCCGGGUAGUCC